This 497-nucleotide ribosomal RNA is filed under the name uncultured bacterium. RNAcentral describes it as "partial 16S ribosomal RNA". It matches the Rfam family "Bacterial small subunit ribosomal RNA", at positions 28 to 507 of the family's 1533-position model. The record is from RNAcentral.
GAUGAACGCUGGCGGCGUGCCUGAUACAUGCAAGUCGAGCGAACGGACGAGAAGCUUGCUUCUCUGAUGUUAGCGGCGGACGGGUGAGUAACACGUGGAUAACCUACCUAUAAGACUGGGAUAACUUCGGGAAACCGGAGCUAAUACCGGAUAAUAUUUUGAACCGCAUGGUUCAAAAGUGAAAGACGGUCUUACUGUCACUUAUAGAUGGAUCCGCGCUGCAUUAGCUAGUUGGUAAGGUAACGGCUUACCAAGGCAACGAUGCAUAGCCGACCUGAGAGGGUGAUCGGCCACACUGGAACUGAGACACGGUCCAGACUCCUACGGGAGGCAGCAGUAGGGAAUCUUCCGCAAUGGGCGAAAGCCUGACGGAGCAACGCCGCGUGAGUGAUGAAGGUCUUCGGAUCGUAAAACUCUGUUAUUAGGGAAGAACAUAUGUGUAAGUAACUGUGCACAUCUUGACGGUACCUAAUCAGAAAGCCACGGCUAACUACGUG